AGGGGUUAGUUCAGUUGGUAGAACAUCGGACUUUGAUUCCGAAUGUCACAGGUUCGAAUCCUGUACCCCUUGCCA
Molecule: transfer RNA, 75 nt
Filed under: Shigella virus Moo19
Lineage: Duplodnaviria; Heunggongvirae; Uroviricota; Caudoviricetes; Schitoviridae
Description: tRNA-Gln
Rfam family: tRNA
About the family: Transfer RNA (tRNA) molecules are approximately 80 nucleotides in length. Their secondary structure includes four short double-helical elements and three loops (D, anti-codon, and T loops).
Source: RNAcentral